GAAAUGCGAUAAGUAAUGUGAAUUGCAGAAUUCAGUGAAUCAUCGAAUCUUUGAACGCACCUUGCGCCCUUUGGCUAUUCCGAAGGGCAUGCCUGUUUGAGUAUCAUGAACACCUCAACUCUCAUGGUUUGCCAUGAUGAGCUUGGACUUUGGAGGUCUUGCUGGCCUGUGGGCCAGCUCCUCUCAAAUGAAUUAGCUUUCCAGUGUUUGGUGGCAUCACAGGGUGUGAUAACUAUCUACGCUUGUGGUUUUUCCACCAGGUAACCUUCGGCAGUGGAGGUUCGCUGGGGCUCAUAAACGUCUCUCUCUAGCAGGGACAGGUUUUGACCAUUUGAUCUCAAAUCAGGUAGGACUACCCGCUGAACUUAAGCAUAUCAAUAAGCGGAGGAAAAGAAACUAACAAGGAUUCCCCUAGU
Molecule: ribosomal RNA, 416 nt
Filed under: uncultured Thelephoraceae
Lineage: Eukaryota; Fungi; Basidiomycota; Agaricomycetes; Thelephorales; Thelephoraceae
Description: eukaryotic LSU rRNA
Rfam family: 5.8S ribosomal RNA (bases 1-106)
Source: RNAcentral